RNAcentral lists this ribosomal RNA (253 nucleotides) under uncultured bacterium. RNAcentral's name for it is "partial 16S ribosomal RNA". It matches the Rfam family "Bacterial small subunit ribosomal RNA", at positions 524 to 776 of the family's 1533-position model. The record is from RNAcentral.
UACAGAGGUCCCAAGCGUUGUUCGGAUUCACUGGGCGUAAAGGGUGCGUAGGUGGUUGAUUAAGUUUGAUGUGAAAUCUCCGAGCUCAACUCGGAAACUGCAUUGAAUACUAUUCGACUAGAGGUUUGGAGGGGGGACUGGAAUUCUCGGUGUAGCAGUGAAAUGCGUAGAUAUCGAGAGGAACACCAGUGGCGAAGGCGAGUCCCUGGACAACACCUGACACUGAGGCACGAAAGCUAGGGGAGCAAACAGG